RNAcentral lists this ribosomal RNA (542 nucleotides) under uncultured bacterium. Its description in RNAcentral is "bacterial SSU rRNA". It matches the Rfam family "Bacterial small subunit ribosomal RNA", at positions 355 to 896 of the family's 1533-position model. The record is from RNAcentral.
UGAGGAAUAUUGGUCAAUGGGCGAGAGCCUGAACCAGCCAAGUAGCGUGCGGGAUGAAGGCCCUUGUGGUCGUAAACCGCUUUUAUCAGUGAAUAAAGUGCAUCACGUGUGGUGUCAUUGCAGGUAGCUGAAGAAAAAGGACCGGCUAAUUCCGUGCCAGCAGCCGCGGUAAUACGGAAGGUCCGGGCGUUAUCCGGAAUUAUUGGGUUUAAAGGGAGCGCAGACGGGAGUAUAAGUCAGCUGUUAAAUAUCAGGGCCCAACUCUGUUAUGCAGUUGAAACUAUAUUUCUUGAGUACGCACAGGGAUGGCGGAAUUCAGGGUGUAGCGGUGAAAUGCUUAGAUAUCCUGAAGAACUCCGAUCGCGAAGGCAGCCAUCCGGAGCGUAACUGACGCUGAGGCUCGAAGGUGCGGGUAUCGAACAGGAUUAGAUACCCUGGUAGUCCGCACGGUAAACGAUGAAUACUCGCAGUUCGGCCUUUUAGGUCGAGUUGUCCAGCGAAAGCGUUAAGUAUUCCACCUGGGGAGUACGCCGGCAACGGUG